GUAGGUGGCAAGCGUUGUCCGGAAUUAUUGGGCGUAAAGCGCGCGCAGGUGGUUCUUUAAGUCUGAUGUGAAAGCCCCCGGCUCAACCGGGGAGGGUCAUUGGAAACUGGGGAGCUUGAGUGCAGGAGAGGAAAGUGGAAUUCCACGUGUAGCGGUGAAAUGCGUAGAUAUGUGAGGAACACCAGUGGCGAAGGCGACUUUCUGGCCUGUAACUGACACUGAGGCGCGAAAGCGUGGGGAGCAAACAGGGAUUAGAUACCCUGGUAGUCCACGCCGUAAACGAUGAGUGCUAAGUGUUGGGGGGGUUUCCGCCCCCUCAGUGCUGCAGCUAACGCAUUAAGCACUCCGCCUGGGAUACGGUCGCAAGACUG
Molecule: ribosomal RNA, 371 nt
Filed under: uncultured organism
Description: partial 16S ribosomal RNA
Rfam family: Bacterial small subunit ribosomal RNA
Source: RNAcentral